ACAGGGAUUGCCCUAGUAACGGCGAGUGAAGCGGCAACAGCUCAAAUUUGAAAUCUGGCUCUUUCAGAGUCCGAGUUGUAAUUUGCAGAGGGCGCUUUGGCGUUGGCAGCGGUCCAAGUUCCUUGGAACAGGACGUCACAGAGGGUGAGAAUCCCGUACGUGGUCGCUGGCCUUUGCCGUGUAAAGCCCCUUCGACGAGUCGAGUUGUUUGGGAAUGCAGCUCUAAAUGGGAGGUAAAUUUCUUCUAAAGCUAAAUACUGGCCAGAGACCGAUAGCGCACAAGUAGAGUGAUCGAAAGAUGAAAAGCACUUUGGAAAGAGAGUCAAAUAGCACGUGAAAUUGUUGAAAGGGAAGCGCUUGCAGCCAGACUUGCCUGUAGUUGCUCAUCCGGGCUUUUGCCCGGUGCACUCUUCUAUAGGCAGGCCAGCAUCAGUUUGGGCGGUUGGAUAAAGGUCUCUGUCAUGUACCUCUCUUCGGGGAGGCCUUAUAGGGGAGACGACAUGCAACCAGCCUGGACUGAGGUCCGCGCAUUUGCUAGGAUGCUGGCGUAAUGGCUGUAAGCGGCCCGUCUUGAAACACGGACCAAGGAGUCUAACAUCUAUGCGAGUGUUUGGGUGUCAAGCCCGAACGCGUAAUGAAAGUGAACGGAGGUGGGAACCCUUACGGGCGCACCAUCGACCGAUCCUGAUGUCUUCGGAAGGAUUUGAGUAAGAGCAUGGCUGUUGGGACCCGAAAGAUGGUGAACUAUGCUUGAAUAGGGUGAAGCCAGAGGAAACUCUGGUGGAGGCUCGCAGCGGUUCUGACGUGCAAAUCGAUCGUCAAAUUUGGGCAUAGGGGCGAAAGACUAAUCGAACUAUCUAGUAGCUGGUUCCUGCCGAGU
Molecule: ribosomal RNA, 880 nt
Filed under: Plenodomus salviae
Lineage: Eukaryota; Fungi; Ascomycota; Dothideomycetes; Pleosporales; Leptosphaeriaceae
Description: eukaryotic LSU rRNA
Rfam family: Eukaryotic large subunit ribosomal RNA
Source: RNAcentral